Molecule: ribosomal RNA, 468 nt
Filed under: uncultured bacterium
Lineage: Bacteria
Description: partial 16S ribosomal RNA
Rfam family: Bacterial small subunit ribosomal RNA
Source: RNAcentral
GACGAACGCUGGCGGCGUGCUUAACACAUGCAAGUCGAACGGAAAGGCCCUGCUUUUGUGGGGUGCUCGAGUGGCGAACGUGAGAGUAACACGUGAGUACCCUGCCCUUGACUUUGGGAUAACUUCCGGAAACUGGGGCUAAUACCGGCUAGGCGCUCCUGCUGCUUGGUGGGGGUUGGAAAGUUUCGGCGGUUGGGGAUGGACUCGCGGCUUAUCAGCUUGUUGGUGGGGUAGUGGCUUACCAAGGCUUUGACGGGUAGCCGGCCUGAGAGGGUGACCGGCCACAUUGGGACUGAGAUACGGCCCAGACUCCUACGGGAGGCAGCAGUGGGGAAUAUUGCACAAUGGGCGGAAGCCUGAUGCAGCAACGCCGCGUGCGGGAUGACGGCCUUCGGGUUGUAAACCGCUUUCACCUGUGACGAAGCGUGAGUGACGGUAAUGAGUGAAGAAGCACCGGCUAACUACGUG